This 581-nucleotide ribosomal RNA is filed under the name uncultured bacterium. RNAcentral's name for it is "bacterial SSU rRNA". It matches the Rfam family "Bacterial small subunit ribosomal RNA", at positions 102 to 679 of the family's 1533-position model. The record is from RNAcentral.
ACGGGUGAGUAAUGUCUGGGAAACUGCCUGAUGGAGGGGGAUAACUACUGGAAACGGUAGCUAAUACCGCAUGAUGUCUUCGGACCAAAGUGGGGGACCUUCGGGCCUCACGCCAUCAGAUGUGCCCAGAUGGGAUUAGCUAGUAGGUGGGGUAAUGGCUCACCUAGGCGACGAUCUCUAGCUGGUCUGAGAGGAUGACCAGCCACACUGGAACUGAGACACGGUCCAGACUCCUACGGGAGGCAGCAGUGGGGAAUAUUGCACAAUGGGCGCAAGCCUGAUGCAGCCAUGCCGCGUGUAUGAAGAAGGCCUUCGGGUUGUAAAGUACUUUCAGCGAGGAGGAAGGCAUUGUGGUUAAUAACCGCAGUGAUUGACGUUACUCGCAGAAGAAGCACCGGCUAACUCCGUGCCAGCAGCCGCGGUAAUACGGAGGGUGCAAGCGUUAAUCGGAAUUACUGGGCGUAAAGCGCACGCAGGCGGUUGAUUAAGUCAGAUGUGAAAUCCCCGAGCUUAACUUGGGAACUGCAUUUGAAACUGGUCAGCUAGAGUCUUGUAGAGGGGGGUAGAAUUCCAGGUGUAGC